UACAGAGGGGGCAAGCGUUAUUCGGAAUUAUUGGGCGUAAAGAGCGUGUAGGCGGCCAAACAGGUCCGUUGUGAAAACUGGAGGCUCAACCUCCAGACGUCGACGGAAACCGUGUGGCUAGAGUCCGGAGGAGGAGAGUGGAAUUCCUGGUGUAGCGGUGAAAUGCGCAGAUAUCAGGAAGAACACCAAUGGCGAAGGCAGCUCUCUGGGACGGUACUGACGCUGAGACGCGAAAGCGUGGGUAGCAAACAGG
RNAcentral lists this ribosomal RNA (253 nucleotides) under uncultured bacterium. Its description in RNAcentral is "partial 16S ribosomal RNA". It matches the Rfam family "Bacterial small subunit ribosomal RNA", at positions 524 to 776 of the family's 1533-position model. The record is from RNAcentral.